This 541-nucleotide long non-coding RNA is filed under the name Salvia miltiorrhiza (redroot sage). Its description in RNAcentral is "long non-coding RNA (SMIL_LNC005806)". The record is from RNAcentral. Lineage: Eukaryota; Viridiplantae; Streptophyta; Magnoliopsida; Lamiales; Lamiaceae.
CGCAUUCGGGCCUAGGUUUUCAGCUCUGAAACUUCCGUUUCUAGACAGCAUAAAUGACGGCCGAUUCAUUUUUCACGCUCUACCGCAAACUGCAUUAAAAUGAGGAAAACAAUGAAAUUGAGCAACGGAAUCGAAAUGCGGAGCUGCGAAUUAAGCAAAAAUGGGGUCAGAGAUGAUAAAAAACCUGCGGCCGACACAGAUCUGCUUGAAGUAGGGCAAUCGAUGCAAAAUGGUGUAUCUGAAUGCGGAUGAUUAUUGCCUCAUGCAGAGAGAGGAGAGAAGGAUCAGCUCACCAGCAUUCUUCGCUUCAUACUCUGCUUAAUUAGAGGGAGAGAGAGAGAGAGAGAGAGGNUUAAGUAGAGAGAGAGAGAGAGAGAGAGAGAGGGGAAGGAGUGUGGACUUGAGCUACUGCAGAAUCUCAAAAAGUGAAAAUGAUGAUGGUGAACUAUAAGACGUGGUGCUAAAAUGCGCCGCGGUGAUGGCCUUCGUAAUUUUGCGCCUUGUUUGGUUAUUGGCAUUUAAGUUUUUUNCUGCAUUUUUG